AUGCCCCAACGACUUCUCAGGUGGCAGCGAUAUGGGUUGAAGGGGGUGAUCCACAAAACUAUUUUGACAGGAGUGUUGUCGUGCAUGCCAAAAAAGGAGACCGACCACUCUAUAUUUAGAGCAUACUAUGGUUGCUAUGACCCAUUGUCAUAUCCACUGUUUUUACCACGUGGGGAGACUGGUUGGAAUCGUUGGAUGCCGUAUGUUCAGGCCCCCGAUGCCGUAUGUUCAGGGUAA
Molecule: ribosomal RNA, 237 nt
Filed under: Triticum aestivum (bread wheat)
Lineage: Eukaryota; Viridiplantae; Streptophyta; Magnoliopsida; Poales; Poaceae
Description: partial small subunit ribosomal RNA
Source: RNAcentral